AGGGGAGCCGGAGGGAAACCGAGUCUUAAUUGGGCGUUAAGUUGCAGGGUAUAGACCCGAAACCCGGUGAUCUAGCCAUGGGCAGGUUGAAGGUUGGGUAACACUAACUGGAGGACCGAACCGACUAAUGUUGAAAAAUUAGCGGAUGACCUGUGGCUGGGGGUGAAAGGCCAAUCAAACCGGGAGAUAGCUGGUUCUCCCCGAAAGCUAUUUAGGUAGCGCCUCGUGAAUUCAUCUCCGGGGGUAGAGCACUGUUUCGGCUAGGGGGCCAUCCCGGCUUACCAACCCGAUGCAAACUGCGAAUACCGGAGAAUGUUAUCACGGGAGACACACGGCGGGUGCUAACGUCCGUCGUGAAGAGGGAAACAACCCAGACCGCCAGCUAAGGUCCCAAAGUCAUGGUUAAGUGGGAAACGAUGUGGGAAGGCCCAGACAGCCAGGAUGUUGGCUUAGAAGCAGCCAUCAUUUAAAGAAAGCGUAAUAGCUCACUGGUCGAGUCGGCCUGCGCGGAAGAUGUAACGGGGCUAAACCAUGCACCGAAGCUGCGGCAGCGAACGUAUCACCCAAGACAACUUUACGGAGUUGACGAUUGACGGAGCGAAGCGACGUCAAAGCGUUCAUUAAAGUCGAGUUGGCUUAGGGAUACGUUCGUUGGGUAGGGGAGCGUUCUGUAAGCCUGUGAAGGUGUGUCGUGAGGCAUGCUGGAGGUAUCAGAAGUGCGAAUGCUGACAUAAGUAACGAUAAAGCGGGUGAAAAGCCCGCUCGCCGGAAGACCAAGGGUUCCUGUCCAACGUUAAUCGGGGCAGGGUGAGUCGACCCCUAAGGCGAGGCCGAAAGGCGUAGUCGAUGGGAAACGGGUUAAUAUUCCCGUACUUGGUGUUACUGCGAAGGGGGGACGGAGAAGGCUAUGUUGGCCGGGCGACGGUUGUCCCGGUUUAAGCGUGUAGGUGUGUGUUCCAGGUAAAUCCGGUUCACUUUAACACUGAGGCGUGACGACGAGGCACUACGGUGCUGA
This 1015-nucleotide ribosomal RNA is filed under the name Salmonella enterica. RNAcentral describes it as "partial 23S ribosomal RNA". It matches the Rfam family "Bacterial large subunit ribosomal RNA", at positions 659 to 1588 of the family's 2925-position model. The record is from RNAcentral. Lineage: Bacteria; Pseudomonadati; Pseudomonadota; Gammaproteobacteria; Enterobacterales; Enterobacteriaceae.